Molecule: ribosomal RNA, 1554 nt
Filed under: Triticum aestivum (bread wheat)
Lineage: Eukaryota; Viridiplantae; Streptophyta; Magnoliopsida; Poales; Poaceae
Description: partial small subunit ribosomal RNA
Source: RNAcentral
AUGGCCGCUGGCGGCGCCGCCGACGGCAAGUACAACUCGUACAAGGCGCCGGGGCUGCGGGGCGCGAUACUGGAGGCGGCGCACGCCUCGUGCCUCGGCGACCGGUACGCGCUGGGCGAGCAGCUCGGGUGGGGCCAGUUCGGGGUCAUCCGGUCCUGCUCCGACAUGGUCACCGGCGAGGCGCUGGCCUGCAAGUCCAUCGCCAAGGACCGGCUCACGUCCCCCGACGACGUGCGGGGGGUCCGGCUCGAGAUCGAGGUCAUGGCGCGCCUCUCGGGCCACCCCAACGUCGUCGACCUCAAGGCCGUGUACGAGGACCAGGACUCGGUGCACCUCGUCAUGGAGCUCUGCGCCGGCGGGGAGCUCUUCCACCGCCUCCAGGAGCGCGGCUGCUUCCCGGAGCACGAGGCCGCCGCGCUCUUCAGGUACCUCAUGGAGGUCGUCACGCACUGCCACAGCAAGGGGAUCGUGCACCGGGACCUCAAGCCCGAGAACAUCCUCCUCGUCAGCAGGUCGCCCUCCUCGCCCAUCAAGCUCGCCGACUUUGGCCUCGCCACCUACACCCAGCCUGGUCAAAGACUGAGCGGCACGGUGGGGAGCCCGUUUUACAUUGCGCCGGAGGUGCUCGCCGGCGGGUACAACGAGGCUGCCGACGUGUGGAGCGCCGGGGUUAUACUCUACAUCCUUCUCAGUGGCAUCCCGCCGUUCUGGGGGAAGACCAAGUCGAAGAUCUUCGAGUGUAUCAGGUCGACGGAGCUGCGGUUCCCUUCCGAUCCCUGGGACAGGGUUUCGGAUUCGGCCAAGGAGCUCAUCACCGGCAUGCUGCAGCGUGAUCCUGGACAGAGGCUCACGGCCGAGCAAGUUCUAGAGCAUUCCUGGAUACGGGAACACGCCGAUGAUUCGCGCGAUUCCUGCGGCGGUUGCCUUGAGAUCGGCCUCGGGAGGGAGGAGCCAGGCUUGUGCUCAUUCUCCACGCCGAUGGCGACACGCAGCCGCGACGUGAGCUUCAGCACCGGCGGGCCGAUCGCCUGCCAGGGUCUGUCGGAGGAACCCUGCUCUCCCACAUUCUCCUGCAGAUCGUCCUUCUCCGCGUUCUCCGCCGCCAGGGCUCCAGCUCCGUCUUGCGGAGCCUUGUUAUUCUCAUUCGGCGACAGCCCCGAACCCAUGAAGGAUGCUGCGCCCGUCGUGUCGAUGCCGAGCUUCUCGUUCUUCUGUUGGAUAGGGUCCGACGAGCCCGAGCCACCGGCGGCUUCAGGCGACGACACCACGAAGGAGAAGGAAGCUCAUUGUGUCGAAGACGCCACGGCGGUGGGCCUCACCGCCGCCUCCUCCUCGGCUCUGACGAGGAUGGCGGAGGCGGCCCUGAGAGGGGCGACGGCGACGACAAGGGCGAACCCGUCGUCACGCAGCAGCAGGCGGAACCACACCAUCGGCGCCGGCGAGCGGGAGCACCAGCACGACCUGGACAUGGCGGUCGCCGAGUCGGUGAUCCGGUGGGCGUCGUGCACCAACCUGUCCACCACCCUCUCCCUCCGCGCCUCGCUCGUGUGCUAG